GAAUCAACUCGAUGGCAAUGAUCAAGAAGGCCCUUUGUGGGGGUAGACGAGAUGUGAUUUCUGCUCAGUGCUCUGCAAGUCAAAGUGAAGAAAUUCAAUGAAGUGCGGGUAAACUGUGGGAGUAAAUAUGACUUUCUUAAGGUAGCCAAAUGUCUCGUUAUCUAAUUAUUAACAUCCAUGAAUGGAUGAAAGCAAUUC
Molecule: non-coding RNA, 198 nt
Filed under: Loxodonta africana (African savanna elephant)
Lineage: Eukaryota; Metazoa; Chordata; Mammalia; Proboscidea; Elephantidae
Description: Eukaryotic large subunit ribosomal RNA
Rfam family: Eukaryotic large subunit ribosomal RNA
Source: Rfam by way of RNAcentral